CUUUGAUCAUGGCUCAGGAUGAACGCUAGCUACAGGCUUAACACAUGCAAGUCGAGGGGAAACGACAUCUAAAGCUUGCUUUUGAUGGGCGUCGACCGGCGCACGGGUGAGUAACGCGUAUCCAACCUGCCCAUCACUUGGGGAUAACCUUGCGAAAGUAAGACUAAUACCCAAUGAUAUCUCAAGAAGACAUCUGAAUGAGAUUAAAGAUUUAUCGGUGAUGGAUGGGGAUGCGUCUGAUUAGCUUGUUGGCGGGGUAACGGCCCACCAAGGCUACGAUCAGUAGGGGUUCUGAGAGGAAGGUCCCCCACAUUGGAACUGAGACACGGUCCAAACUCCUACGGGAGGCAGCAGUGAGGAAUAUUGGUCAAUGGGCGAGAGCCUGAACCAGCCAAGUAGCGUGCAGGAUGACGGCCCUAUGGGUUGUAAACUGCUUUUAUAAGGGAAUAAAGUGAGCCUCGUGAGGCUUUUUGCAUGUACCUUAUGAAUAAGGACCGGCUAAUUCCGUGCCAGCAGCCGCGGUAAUACGGAAGGUCCGGGCGUUAUCCGGAUUUAUUGGGUUUAAAGGGAGCGUAGGCCGGAGAUUAAGCGUGUUGUGAAAUGUAGAUGCUCAACAUCUGCACUGCAGCGCGAACUGGUUUCCUUGAGUACGCACAAAGUGGGCGGAAUUCGUGGUGUAGCGGUGAAAUGCUUAGAUAUCACGAAGAACUCCGAUUGCGAAGGCAGCUCACUGGAGCGCAACUGACGCUGAAGCUCGAAAGUGCGGGUAUCGAACAGGAUUAGAUACCCUGGUAGUCCGCACGGUAAACGAUGGAUGCCCGCUGUUGGUAUGAAUAGGUCAGCGGCCAAGCGAAAGCAUUAAGCAUCCCACCUGGGGAGUACGCCGGCAACGGUGCAACUCAAAGGAAUGGACGG
RNAcentral lists this ribosomal RNA (915 nucleotides) under uncultured Bacteroidota bacterium. Its description in RNAcentral is "bacterial SSU rRNA". It matches the Rfam family "Bacterial small subunit ribosomal RNA", at positions 11 to 916 of the family's 1533-position model. The record is from RNAcentral. Lineage: Bacteria; Pseudomonadati; Bacteroidota.